Molecule: ribosomal RNA, 641 nt
Filed under: Streptomyces sp. EGI80234
Lineage: Bacteria; Bacillati; Actinomycetota; Actinomycetes; Kitasatosporales; Streptomycetaceae
Description: bacterial SSU rRNA
Rfam family: Bacterial small subunit ribosomal RNA
Source: RNAcentral
GGCGAACGGGUGAGUAACACGUGGGCAAUCUGCCCUGCACUCUGGGACAAGCCCUGGAAACGGGGUCUAAUACCGGAUAUGACACACGGCCGCAUGGUCUGUGUGUGGAAAGCUCCGGCGGUGCAGGAUGAGCCCGCGGCCUAUCAGCUUGUUGGUGGGGUGAUGGCCUACCAAGGCGACGACGGGUAGCCGGCCUGAGAGGGCGACCGGCCACACUGGGACUGAGACACGGCCCAGACUCCUACGGGAGGCAGCAGUGGGGAAUAUUGCACAAUGGGCGCAAGCCUGAUGCAGCGACGCCGCGUGAGGGAUGACGGCCUUCGGGUUGUAAACCUCUUUCAGCAGGGAAGAAGCUUUUAUCGGUGACGGUACCUGCAGAAGAAGCACCGGCUAACUACGUGCCAGCAGCCGCGGUAAUACGUAGGGUGCGAGCGUUGUCCGGAAUUAUUGGGCGUAAAGAGCUCGUAGGCGGCUUGUCACGUCGGAUGUGAAAGCCCGGGGCUUAACCCCGGGUCUGCAUUCGAUACGGGCAGGCUAGAGUUCGGUAGGGGAGAUCGGAAUUCCUGGUGUAGCGGUGAAAUGCGCAGAUAUCAGGAGGAACACCGGUGGCGAAGGCGGAUCUCUGGGCCGAUACUGACGCU